RNAcentral lists this ribosomal RNA (900 nucleotides) under Prolixibacter bellariivorans. RNAcentral describes it as "bacterial SSU rRNA". It matches the Rfam family "Bacterial small subunit ribosomal RNA", at positions 84 to 985 of the family's 1533-position model. Lineage: Bacteria; Pseudomonadati; Bacteroidota; Bacteroidia; Marinilabiliales; Prolixibacteraceae. The record is from RNAcentral.
GGGGUACACGAGUGGCGCACGGGUGAGUAACGCGUAUGCAACCUGCCCUGUACAGGGGGAUAGCCCGGAGAAAUCCGGAUUAAUACCCCAUAGUUUUUAUGAGUCGCAUGGCUUAUAAAAUAAAGUUUCGGCGGUACAGGAUGGGCAUGCGUGGCAUUAGCUAGUUGGUAAGGUAACGGCUUACCAAGGCGACGAUGCCUAGGGGUUCUGAGAGGAUGAUCCCCCACACUGGGACUGAGACACGGCCCAGACUCCUACGGGAGGCAGCAGUGAGGAAUAUUGGUCAAUGGGCGAGAGCCUGAACCAGCCAUCCCGCGUGCAGGAUGACGGCCCUACGGGUUGUAAACUGCUUUUAUGUACCAAGAAUGUGUUCUACGUGUAGGAUUUUGACGGUAGUACAUGAAUAAGCAUCGGCUAACUCCGUGCCAGCAGCCGCGGUAAUACGGAGGAUGCAAGCGUUAUCCGGAUUCAUUGGGUUUAAAGGGUGCGUAGGCGGCUAUAUAAGUCAGUGGUGAAAUGCUGCAGCUCAACUGUAGAACUGCCAUUGAAACUGUAUAGCUUGAGUGCGCCUGAGGUAGGCGGAAUGAGUAGUGUAGCGGUGAAAUGCUUAGAUAUUACUCAGAACACCGAUUGCGAAGGCAGCUUACUAAAGCGUAACUGACGCUGAUGCACGAAAGCGUGGGGAGCGAACAGGAUUAGAUACCCUGGUAGUCCACGCCGUAAACGAUGAUAACUCGCUGUUGGCGAUACACAGUCAGCGGCUUAGCGAAAGCAUUAAGUUAUCCACCUGGGGAGUACGAUCGCAAGGUUGAAACUCAAAGGAAUUGACGGGGGCCCGCACAAGCGGAGGAACAUGUGGUUUAAUUCGAUGAUACGCGAGGAACCUUACCUGGGCUUAAA